CGGACGGGUGAGUAAUGUCUGGGAAGCUGCCUGAUGGAGGGGGAUAACUACUGGAAACGGUAGCUAAUACCGCAUAACGUCGCAAGACCAAAGAGGGGGACCUUAGGGCCUCUUGCCAUCGGAUGUGCCCAGAUGGGAUUAGCUUGUUGGUGGGGUAACGGCUCACCAAGGCGACGAUCCCUAGCUGGUCUGAGAGGAUGACCAGCCACACUGGAACUGAGACACGGUCCAG
This 232-nucleotide ribosomal RNA is filed under the name uncultured bacterium. RNAcentral's name for it is "partial 16S ribosomal RNA". It matches the Rfam family "Bacterial small subunit ribosomal RNA", at positions 99 to 334 of the family's 1533-position model. The record is from RNAcentral.